This is a long non-coding RNA of Triticum dicoccoides, 518 nucleotides long. RefSeq lists it as uncharacterized. The transcript is spliced from 2 exons. The record is from RefSeq and is a predicted model, not a curated record. Lineage: Eukaryota; Viridiplantae; Streptophyta; Magnoliopsida; Poales; Poaceae.
CAACGAGGAGCAAGGCUGGCCACUCCCAUUUAUGCACGAGCUCCCCUAUUUCUGAUCAAGGCUAUAUAAAUCCGGGUCUCGCCGAAAUUCAUGCGAGCACAACAGAAACGCCAGCCUCUUCUCUUGUGCCUGCCUCCCCUUCCUCUCCUGAUCUCCAGAGCGAGAGGGAGGGGGAUCUAGAUUCUAGAUAGAAGCUCCAAACCCGGCCGUUUCGGUUAUCCAGAGAGACCAGAGGACAUGGCGUCAAUCCCCAGAGCGUCGUCCCUUGUCGCCAUGGCCAUCGUCGUCGUGCUCGCCUCCGUGGCCAGCGCCCAGGGCCCCGCCCCGGCACCCGCGAUGGAACGAGCGUGGACCAAGGGAUCGCGUACGUGCUCAUGUUCGUGGCGCUCGCCCUCACCUACCUCAUCCACCCGCUGGACGCCGCCUCCGCCUACAGGCUCCUCUGAACCGAGCUCCCCCUCUUCUGUAACUCGACGCCGCCGUGUGUGUAAUCAGUUCAUCCAGCUUAAUCGUUCGUU